GGGGGAUAAGCUUCCCCUUCUUACCAAACUGCAUCACUCUUUUUAUGGGGGAUACCUUUAAGAACACCCAAUCACAACCCUGAACUCCAACUCCCUUCGCCUCACAUCCACGUAGUACUUUCAAUAACUUUGGAUAGCUUUUAACCUAUACCAAAUCACCUUCACCUUCUCCAUUGGUUGGUGAACCAAAUCUGGGCUAAACACUC
RNAcentral lists this long non-coding RNA (206 nucleotides) under Capsicum annuum. RNAcentral's name for it is "long non-coding RNA (CANN_LNC004831)". The record is from RNAcentral. Lineage: Eukaryota; Viridiplantae; Streptophyta; Magnoliopsida; Solanales; Solanaceae.